GUCGGCGGACAGCGGGCCGGCUGGCUGCGGUGCCGGCUGGUGGCCGCCGAGCCCGGCCAGCCGUUCUACUCGGCGUCGCCGACG
This 84-nucleotide transfer RNA is filed under the name Plantactinospora endophytica. Its description in RNAcentral is "tRNA-Thr". The record is from RNAcentral. Lineage: Bacteria; Bacillati; Actinomycetota; Actinomycetes; Micromonosporales; Micromonosporaceae.